UGCAGUCGAACGAGAACGUUUUCUUCGGAAGAUUAUUAAAGUGGCGAACGGGUGAGUAACGCGUAGGUAACGUGCCUCUUAGUUUGGGAUAAGCAUUGGAAACGAUGUCUAAUACCGGAUGUGAUCUAACACUUUAGUGUUGGAUUAAAGGCUUCGGCUGCUAAGAGAUCGGCCUGCGUUAGACUAGCUAGUUGGUGAGGUAAUGGCUCACCAAGGCAACGAUCUAUAGCGGAUCUGAGAGGGUGAUCCGCCACACUGGGACUGAGAUACGGCCCAGACUCCUACGGGAGGCAGCAGUGAGGAAUAUUGCACAAUGGACGAAAGUCUGAUGCAGCAAUACCGCGUGAACGAAGAAGGUCUAUGGAUUGUAAAGUUCUGUCAAGAGGGAAGAAUAAGUUGGUUUGUAGCCGACUCUGACGGUACCUCUAAAGGAAGCACCGGCUAACUCCGUGCCAGCAGCCGCGGUAAUACGGGGGGUGCAAGCGUUGUCCGGAAUCAUUGGGCGUAAAGGGUUCGUAGGUGGAAUUGUAAGUCUGGUGUGAAAGCCCACAGCUUAACUGUGGAACUGCACUGGAUACUGCUUUUCUUGAAUUACAGAGGGGGUUGUGGAACUUCUGGUGUAGAGGUGAAAUUUGUAGAGAUCAGAAAGAACACCGGUGGCGAAGGCGACAACCUGGCUGUUAAUUGACACUAAUGAACGAAAGCGUGGGGAGCGAACAGGAUUAGAUACCCUGGUAGUCCACGCAGUANACGAUGGAUACUCGUUGUCGGGCAAGUUAUUGUUCGGUGACCAAGCUAACGCAUUAAGUAUCCCGCCUGGGGAGUACGAUCGCAAGGUUGAAACUC
RNAcentral lists this ribosomal RNA (846 nucleotides) under uncultured marine bacterium. RNAcentral describes it as "bacterial SSU rRNA". It matches the Rfam family "Bacterial small subunit ribosomal RNA", at positions 56 to 902 of the family's 1533-position model. The record is from RNAcentral.